Molecule: ribosomal RNA, 1526 nt
Filed under: Salmonella enterica subsp. enterica serovar Poona
Lineage: Bacteria; Pseudomonadati; Pseudomonadota; Gammaproteobacteria; Enterobacterales; Enterobacteriaceae
Description: bacterial SSU rRNA
Rfam family: Bacterial small subunit ribosomal RNA
Source: RNAcentral
GAAGAGUUUGAUCAUGGCUCAGAUUGAACGCUGGCGGCAGGCCUAACACAUGCAAGUCGAACGGUAACAGGAAGCAGCUUGCUGCUUUGCUGACGAGUGGCGGACGGGUGAGUAAUGUCUGGGAAACUGCCUGAUGGAGGGGGAUAACUACUGGAAACGGUGGCUAAUACCGCAUAACGUCGCAAGACCAAAGAGGGGGACCUUCGGGCCUCUUGCCAUCAGAUGUGCCCAGAUGGGAUUAGCUUGUUGGUGAGGUAACGGCUCACCAAGGCGACGAUCCCUAGCUGGUCUGAGAGGAUGACCAGCCACACUGGAACUGAGACACGGUCCAGACUCCUACGGGAGGCAGCAGUGGGGAAUAUUGCACAAUGGGCGCAAGCCUGAUGCAGCCAUGCCGCGUGUAUGAAGAAGGCCUUCGGGUUGUAAAGUACUUUCAGCGGGGAGGAAGGUGUUGUGGUUAAUAACCGCAGCAAUUGACGUUACCCGCAGAAGAAGCACCGGCUAACUCCGUGCCAGCAGCCGCGGUAAUACGGAGGGUGCAAGCGUUAAUCGGAAUUACUGGGCGUAAAGCGCACGCAGGCGGUCUGUCAAGUCGGAUGUGAAAUCCCCGGGCUCAACCUGGGAACUGCAUUCGAAACUGGCAGGCUUGAGUCUUGUAGAGGGGGGUAGAAUUCCAGGUGUAGCGGUGAAAUGCGUAGAGAUCUGGAGGAAUACCGGUGGCGAAGGCGGCCCCCUGGACAAAGACUGACGCUCAGGUGCGAAAGCGUGGGGAGCAAACAGGAUUAGAUACCCUGGUAGUCCACGCCGUAAACGAUGUCUACUUGGAGGUUGUGCCCUUGAGGCGUGGCUUCCGGAGCUAACGCGUUAAGUAGACCGCCUGGGGAGUACGGCCGCAAGGUUAAAACUCAAAUGAAUUGACGGGGGCCCGCACAAGCGGUGGAGCAUGUGGUUUAAUUCGAUGCAACGCGAAGAACCUUACCUGGUCUUGACAUCCACAGAACAUUCCAGAGAUGGAUUGGUGCCUUCGGGAACUGUGAGACAGGUGCUGCAUGGCUGUCGUCAGCUCGUGUUGUGAAAUGUUGGGUUAAGUCCCGCAACGAGCGCAACCCUUAUCCUUUGUUGCCAGCGGUCCGGCCGGGAACUCAAAGGAGACUGCCAGUGAUAAACUGGAGGAAGGUGGGGAUGACGUCAAGUCAUCAUGGCCCUUACGACCAGGGCUACACACGUGCUACAAUGGCGCAUACAAAGAGAAGCGACCUCGCGAGAGCAAGCGGACCUCAUAAAGUGCGUCGUAGUCCGGAUUGGAGUCUGCAACUCGACUCCAUGAAGUCGGAAUCGCUAGUAAUCGUGGAUCAGAAUGCCACGGUGAAUACGUUCCCGGGCCUUGUACACACCGCCCGUCACACCAUGGGAGUGGGUUGCAAAAGAAGUAGGUAGCUUAACCUUCGGGAGGGCGCUUACCACUUUGUGAUUCAUGACUGGGGUGAAGUCGUAACAAGGUAACCGUAGGGGAACCUGCGGUUGGA